RNAcentral lists this ribosomal RNA (826 nucleotides) under Lulesia popinalis. Its description in RNAcentral is "Clitocella popinalis partial large subunit ribosomal RNA". It matches the Rfam family "Eukaryotic large subunit ribosomal RNA", at positions 43 to 852 of the family's 3401-position model. The record is from RNAcentral. Lineage: Eukaryota; Fungi; Basidiomycota; Agaricomycetes; Agaricales; Entolomataceae.
UCAAUAAGCGGAGGAAAAGAAACUAACAAGGAUUCCCCUAGUAACUGCGAGUGAAGCGGGAAGAGCUCAAAUUUAAAAUCUGGUAGUCUUUGGCUGCCCGAGUUGUAAUCUAGAGAAGCGUUAUCCGCGCUGGACCGUGUAUAAGUCUCCUGGAAUGGAGCGUCAUAGAGGGUGAGAAUCCCGUCUUUGACACGGACUACCAGGGCUUUGUGAUGCGCUCUCAAAGAGUCGAGUUGUUUGGGAAUGCAGCUCUAAAUGGGUGGUAAAUUCCAUCUAAAGCUAAAUAUUGGCGAGAGACCGAUAGCGAACAAGUACCGUGAGGGAAAGAUGAAAAGAACUUUGGAAAGAGAGUUAAACAGUACGUGAAAUUGUUGAAAGGGAAACGCUUGAAGUCAGUCACGUUGGCUAGGAAUCAGCCUUGCUUUUGCUUGGUGUAUUUCCUGGUUUUAACGGGUCAGCAUCAAUUUUGACCGGUGGAAAAAGGUCGAGGGAAUGUGGCAUCUUAGGAUGUGUUAUAGCCCUUGGUCGUAUACAUCGGUUGGGAUUGAGGAACUCAGCACGCCGAAAGGUCGGGUUUUCUAACCACGUUCGUGCUUAGGAUGCUGGCAUAAUGGCUUUAAUCGACCCGUCUUGAAACACGGACCAAGGAGUCUAACAUGCCUGCGAGUGUUUGGGUGGAAAACCCGAGCGCGUAAUGAAAGUGAAAGUUGAGAUCCCUGUCGUGGGGAGCAUCGACGCCCGGACCAGACCUUUUGUGACGGAUCCGCGGUAGAGCAUGUAUGUUGGGACCCGAAAGAUGGUGAACUAUGCCUGAAUAGGGUGAAGC